Molecule: ribosomal RNA, 301 nt
Filed under: uncultured bacterium
Lineage: Bacteria
Description: partial 16S ribosomal RNA
Rfam family: Bacterial small subunit ribosomal RNA
Source: RNAcentral
CAGCCGCCGCGGGAAUACAGAGGGUGCGAGCGUUAAUCGGAUUUACUGGGCGUAAAGCGUGCGUAGGCGGCUUCUUAAGUCGGAUGUGAAAUCCCUGAGCUUAACUUAGGAAUUGCAUUCGAUACUGGGAAGCUAGAGUAUGGGAGAGGAUGGUAGAAUUCCAGGUGUAGCGGUGAAAUGCGUAGAGAUCUGGAGGAAUACCGAUGGCGAAGGCAGCCAUCUGGCCUAAUACUGACGCUGAGGUACGAAAGCAUGGGGAGCAAACAGGAUUAGAUACCCCUGUAGCCCUGUCUCUUAUACA